GCCACGCCGCGUGAGGGAGAAGGCCUUCGGGUUGUAAAGCUCUUUUUGAGGGAGGAAAGAGGCGGUACCCGUAUGACAUUGCAGGGACCCUAAGAAUAAGGCCCGGCUAAUUCCGAGCCAGCCGCCGCGGUAAU
RNAcentral lists this ribosomal RNA (134 nucleotides) under uncultured bacterium. RNAcentral describes it as "partial 16S ribosomal RNA". It matches the Rfam family "Bacterial small subunit ribosomal RNA", at positions 391 to 524 of the family's 1533-position model. The record is from RNAcentral.